GCGGGUAUAGCUUAGUGGUAAAGUCAUAGCCUUCCAAGCUAAAGAUGUGGGUUCGAUUCCCACUAUCCGCU
This 71-nucleotide transfer RNA is filed under the name Neoehrlichia mikurensis. RNAcentral describes it as "Candidatus Neoehrlichia mikurensis tRNA-Gly". It matches the Rfam family "tRNA". From Rfam's summary of the family: Transfer RNA (tRNA) molecules are approximately 80 nucleotides in length. Lineage: Bacteria; Pseudomonadati; Pseudomonadota; Alphaproteobacteria; Rickettsiales; Anaplasmataceae. The record is from RNAcentral.